Passer domesticus (house sparrow) is the source of this 13998-nucleotide long non-coding RNA. RefSeq lists it as uncharacterized. The transcript has 5 exons. Lineage: Eukaryota; Metazoa; Chordata; Aves; Passeriformes; Passeridae. The record is from RefSeq and is a predicted model, not a curated record.
CAGCGGGAAGAUUCGGAGGAGCGCUUUUUUCCCCUCAGGAUCAGCACUCCAUUGAGGAUCUACCUGAAAUAAGAGCAACUGUAGGAGAGAUUGUGGUGGAGAUGAACGCACUAAACCCUACAAAUAGCGAAGUGGUUCACCGUGUACUUUUUCAUCAAAGUCAUGAAUGAAGAAGCCAAAUCGCUUGCGGCACCACGUGUUUUCCUGUGUUUCUACCAUUGGGCUGGGGGGAGAAUUCAGAAGGCACAGGGGGAAUGAAGGAAAAUGGAAGAAGGAGUGUCAGAGCCUUUCCUGCUCCCUUCAACACUCCAGUAGUGAGGAGGCUGGAGGUGCACAGGAAUCUAGGAGAUGACACAGCUGGGAAAGCUGACCCAAACUAACCCAAGGGGUAUUCCAUAUGAUGUGGUGUCACAUUCAUCAUAAAAAGCUAGAGGAGAUUUGGGGGCGGGGGGAGAAGGUGCUGGGCAUUAGUUGCUUAAAUUUGUGUAACUUUUCUUUUUUGGGGUUUAUUUUAUUUUUAAAUUUAUUUUAAAGUUUAUUUAUUCACUGACCUGCAAUCUGUUCUAACCCCCUCUUCUCUAAUAUCUCAUGAGUGGGAAAACUGGUGUUUUUCAUUCCCAGUUGCUUCCUGGUCACAUUCAGCUUGUGAUUAACAGGACCACAACACACAGAUGAACCACACCAAUGAAACGCCUACCUGGCUUUAGGCUGCUUGACACAGACUAACCUUGGGCUAGAGACUGCUACAGGCAAAUAAUGCCUGGUAAAAAUGUUCAGAAUCAACUUUUCAAAGUCCAAAAUAAGAGAAAGAUAGCCCAUAAGUCUUUGCAGGUGUGCAAGAAGUAGAAGGAAGACAAAUCAUCAUAAAAGCAACCAUCAGGGCUCUCUCUUAAUAUGGAUUGUGGAGCUGGACAUGAAAAAAGAGAACAUUAGGGGACAGAAACUGAGAGGCAACUAUACCCAAAUACAUAUAUAGACUAAAAACAGCUUGCAAGACAUUUUAUGGGUACCAUAUGGCAAGAGUACCACUAAACAGAAAGCUAGAGACACCAGGGGAGAAGCUAUCCUACUCUUUUCACCAAACAUAGGCAGGCAUGAGCCACAAUGCCCCAGUAUUAAAAGUGCCUUUUGAAUCUAUUUUGUUCCUUCUGAUGGAGGGGGGGUUCUAAAAAGAAUAAUUAAAAAAAAAUCAAACCAGGAUUUUUAGAGACCCAUUAAAAGGAGCAGUAAGAAAUAGAAUAGCUUAAAGAAAAACUGAAGCAAACAGAUUAGCUUCAGAUAUCCUUCAAAAGCAGACAUCACAGUUCUCCAUUUAUACUAAGAAAAAAUUCUUAAAUAGAAUAAUAGAAUAUAUGGAGUUAGAAGAGACCCAUCUGGAUGAUCAAAUCCAACUCCUGGCCCUACCCAGCACUAUUCCUGACUGACACCAUGUGCCUGAGAGCAUUGUCCAAACACUUCUUGAACUUUGUUAGGCUGGUGCUGUGACCACUUCCCUGGGGAGCCUGUUCCUAUGCCCAGCCACCCUUUGGGUGAAAUACUUUUUCCUAAUAAAAUCCCAAUCUAAACCUCCUGACUCAGGUUCAUGCUGUUUACUCAAGUCUUGUCAGUGGUCAUGAGACUGAUCAGAACCUUCCCCUUUGCUUCCCCUUUCACAAGGAUGUUUUGGACUUCAAUAAAGACUCCCCUCAGUCUCCUUUACUCCAGACUGAACAGACCAAGUGACCUCAAGCUGCUCCUCAUAAAUCUUCCCCUCUAGUCCCUUCACGAUCCUCGUUCCUCUCCUUUGAUGCUCUCUAAUAGCUCAAUGUCUUUUUUCUGUAUUUCUGUGACCACUGGAAAAAUGCAUCAAUCUUCACACAGGGCCAAACUUCUCUUACUGGGAGAGGGGAAACAGUCAGAAACUGUCACUGGGCAUCUGGGAAGGCUGGGAUUUUUCUGGCUCCAUUUCUCAAUACCUAUAGUUAGAUUUAUUCCCUCAGAGGCCUUUACAAGGGACCAUCAGGAAAGCAUAAUUAGUGUUAUAAGAGGGGGAAGAGGGUGUGCAGGUAGUGGACAGUCCCUUGUCACCUUUUAGAUUGUAUUACAAGGAAAAGCUGUAAGCUGUAACAUAAAGGGUAUUACAAAUAAAUUGCCACAUUUUACUCCUUCAAGAUGAGAUUUAUCUUCUGAUGGAAAAAAAAAACCUGGAAAGCAUGGUGUUUGCAGACAAACUACAGAAUUUUGUCUUAAUGCUUCUGUUGCUGAGCUGUAGGUGCUGUAGCUGGGUUACUGGUGUCAUGUUAAAAGGGAACAUGUACUGGUGCUGAGGCUGCAGCUUAGCAGUCCCUGCUCCAGAGGGACAGAAGCACAGCAGAGCAGACUUCUUCAGCUCUGCUGGUAAGAAAAACCUGCUUGUGCUGCUGCUGUUUUGUAACUCCAUUUGUCCUGUGGCUCCUGGGGAAAAAGUCCAAAGGGUGGAAGGUCGCCUCCUGGAGAACAGCAGCAGGAAAUGAUGAGCAGGAAGUAGCAGGGUAUGGAAGUGAAGUGCUGUGCAGGAAUGGAAUACAGUCUCUGUCACAGAUUGGAGGCAUUGCACCACGGGCCACCCAGAGUCCAGCCUUUUGUCACUGAUGUCCUUACAGAAUCAGGACUGCAUUGCUAAAUCCUGGAUAAGAGCAGCUUCCACAAGCAUAUGAUGGUUUUCUCAAUUAAUUCUAAAACAGCCCCAACCCCAAAUCACAGUAAUCUUAUAAUUUCCAAAGCCAUUACAAGCCUAAUGAAGAUGAGAUUGUGAGAUGGUCACCUAAUUGCUUACAACAGUAAAUCCCAUUAGAAGUGAGGAAGUUUUUAAGUUAGUCUUGGACACUAAAACAGAUUCUAAAAUAAUAAUUAUCCAGCAUGAGCUGGUUCACAUGCAGAACCACAUUUUUAGCUGAUGUCAUUACCACAACUAGAAAUUUAAUAUAUAAUUAGUUAAUAUAUAAUUCUGUAUCUUCAAAGUUACUACUUACAGCUUUUUUACCACCCUUCUUUCCAGUAACAAAAGGCAACUCUUUAUCCUGUAUGCCAAGUCUUUUAUUUGGAAAUGGAAUGCAUAAAACAAUGACUUGAACAGGAAAGUCUUGCUCAUCUUAAAACUUAAAAUGUUCUAAUUUUAUAUGCUUUAUGACUAUUGUAUGGAAUAUCAUGAGGUCAGUGUCAAGAAAUGCAAGACAGAAGACCAAGACACUCACAGUAUGUAAAGGUGCAAGAGAAAUUUUUCAACAGCUGUGUACAAAAAGGAGCAAUGAAACAUCAGAAAUAUCCAAAUACAGUAUUCUGGACUUUGAGAAGCUACUCUAGAGGAACCAAUGACUUGGUUGUUUUGAAAUGGCACAAAAAGGGAACAUGAUAUAUGCAUUCUUUAUAUCAGGAAAACUUUUCACACACAUUUAACUUAAUGUGAAAUAUUAGUUUGCUUAACAGUAAAGAGCUCAUUCCAAACAAAUUCAAAACAGGUACAAGAUACAGCAAAUGCAGCCCCAGCUUUGCAUAGACUUACUUAGGUGUGUUUAAUGCUAAAGUCAGUAAUCUGUAGUUACAAUUAACAGCAUAAAGAGACUUCAACAUUAACGGGAGAUAAAUAUUCAAGACUCCUUUCCAUUGCCAGCAGUGUGUAAGGAGGACUUCAGUACGGCUGUAGUCUGUAGCAGAACACAACAGGCAGGCAAACUUCUUUAUCUUUUUAGGACCCAAAUUUAUACGUUCAGAUUUUGCAGUACCAGAACUGGAUAAAAUCCACUUCACUAAGGAGUUACAGACCACAGGAGCUGACCUGUAUGAAUAUUUUCAAUUCAUGACAAAUUGAGGUUAAACAGUCUUGCACAAACAGCAUGCAAUUUAAUAAACUUAAGAAUCAUUAUGGUUUAUUUGUAAACUUACUGACCAAAGCAAAACUAGAACUGGAAACUAGAAUUCUGCCUUUUGGAUUUUAAAAAUUGUGUUUUAUUUGCUGCUGAAAGGAAUGCACUCUGUAUUUCCCUUACUGUUACUGAGAAACUUGCUUUUAAAAAUCUUUGAAGAUUUUGAAUUUAAAAUUUUUACACAAUUUUUAUAAGUGGUUUCUAGAUAUAGCUGUGGAGUUUUGAUUUUGGUAUAAUAAUUCAACCUAAUAAUUUUUUACAAAUUUGAAAGAAACAGACCAAAAUACCUCAUUAAAGAAUUUCAUUCCCAUGGAAUACAGAUUUUAACUUGAAAGGUAUGAAUUGUUCUUUACCAGGCUAUUUUUUUUUCCUCUGUAUCGUGUAGUUUGUUGAACCUGUACUUAUGCAAAAUAAUUCUAUUUGAAUGAUCUGUGUUUCAUCUAAAAAAUAGGAUGGGACAGGGAGGGAAGAGGAAAAGACUGAGGAAUUAUUCCCUUUGAAACACGACAGAAUUGGCCUAGUAGGUCACCAUGGAACCACAUGAUGAAGAAUUUAAGAAGUGUUAAGAGACUUUCCCAGCAUGUAACAAUGAUUUGCAUUACAUGAAUACCUGCUAUGCAAGAAAUCAGGUUUGUCAACAAUGCAGAAGAAUUUCUAUAAACUCACAUACAUAUUGAAAGAAAUCAUGUUACAGUUUUUUCAUACCUUCAUUCACUUUAAGAAACUGAAACCCUCUGCCAUAUUGUAGACCAAGAACGUGGCAGAAUUUGAAGUUUACCAAUGCCAUCUAUCUUAUCCUAUAUUUCCAACAAUAUAUAUUUUUUAGCUAGGAAUUCACAAUUUCUACAAUUUCCAUUAUCUCCAUUAUCAAAUGUCAAUGAUUUGUAAGUAGAAUAUAAUCCAAUAUUAUACCAUUUAUUUUUGACAGCCCACAGUUUGGCAAUAAUCCUUGAUUCUGCUGUAACACAGUGUCUUGUUUUUUCAGUUUUCAUAGCCUUGUGGCACAGGCACCACAGUUUCAGUUCAUGAGUUGUCUUAAAAACACAGAUUUGGAUCUUAAUUACAAUGGUCAGGAUGCUUAGAUUUUCACUGAAGAGAAGCUGAAAUGCAGGAAGUUUAUAUAAUGUCAUCUGGCAGACUGUAGACCUUAUGAGGACGAAGAGGGUCUUGAAAGAGGAGGGUAUCAAAACUAGAUUUUGGCAAUAUAGAAGGUGUAUUGUCCAUGUAGUUCUGUCAUAAGCUUUAAAAAUACUCUUAUUAAAUAAGUUUUUCCUUCCUUAAGACCAGGUAAUACACAAAGCGAGGAAGAGUCCAGGGGUCAGAAUCUUCUUCAGUUCUUAGUUAUUCUCUAUGAGCUUUUUUCUUUAAUUUUUCUUCGUAAGAUUCUCCAUACUCAUUUACUCUGCUCUUAUCCACAGGAUAAAGCCUGAUAGAAAAAAACCAAAUCUUUAGUUGCAUUACAGCCUCCUAUCAGAAGGAAUUAAGUAGUUCUGUGAUGCUUAAUUUUAGAAGUUAAUUUCUUUGUCAUCAUAUUCUCUAUUCCCAUUUGUGGCAAAACCCAGCAUCUUUAAAGAUUUGUACAGACAUAUCAGCUUUUUCACAAUAUGACUCAACCAGUUGUCUCAUAACAGAACCUCUUAAGAGAUGUAUUAGCUCCCUUAAAGCUUGGCUGGAGUCUUUUCUCAAGCAAUCCAGGACAUCUCUCAAACUUGAAACCAGUGCCCAGCCCCUAUCAGAAACUGCUGACCACUUAAUUUCUACAAGAAUAACAAUAAACAAAAAUGCUUAUUCUGGGGAACAAAAAUACACUUUCUGUAACUUCACUAUGAACAGUAUUUCACAAGUAGUGCAUAUAGCUUUCUUCCCUAUCUGAUUUUAGUUACUCAAAGAAGCUGAAACUCGACAGGUACUCAACUUACAAGAGAACCUGAUAACUUGUUUUUGCAAACCAGGUAAAGAGAAAGGCAGAGCAGGGCAGUCCCCCAUCACACAACACCCUUCACUACUGCCCUGAGAGCACCUUGGAGAACAUACCUCAGACACUGAGAAUAUGGAGAUGUGGCCCUCAGCAAGGGUUAGAAGCCCAGAACUGCUAAGGUUCAACCACUGAAUUCGUUUCAUCUCUCCUAUCACCAACUGGCCCUCUGAACAUCAAUGACAGCUUUCCUCCUCCUCUUCUGACUGACAUGUAUGCAAGCUACUGAAUUCUAUGCUACAGUAAUUAUCAGGUAACCUGUGAGAUACAACAGCCUGUUGCCUAGAGGAUGUUAAAAAAACAUCUAUAUUCUUCAGCUUUAGAUAGACAGGACAAGGAAGUUUCCAGUUCCUGCCUAUGCAUCAAGCUAACCACCAACUUCCAUAACCAUGGAGAAAAAAUGGGGAAUGUUUUAAUUCCACAUGAGAUCAUUUAUAGAGUUACAGUACCUUUUGUAUUUAACAUUCAGCAAGGAGUAACCUGCACCUCCAAUACACAGUGGAUAGAGCAAAUACGACAAGUAUUUCAUAGCCUAAUGGAGAAGAAAAAUUGUUAGUUCACAUUGUAUAUGAACAGAUUUUUCAUGCCAUUAAAUAGCCAUGAAAAGAAGACAGUCACAUAUUUUUUUCCUGAUAAUCUUUUCCUAUUCCCACAUGUAUGCUAUAAUUUCUACAAUGCUUCCACUUCUAGUGGUGGUGGUGAAAAUUCCAAAGGCCAAUUCAGACAAGCAAUCACCUCAGAGCGUUGGCACCAAGAGACAGCACAAAGAUCAGUCUCUAAAAGUAGCUUCCUACUUAACACCGAUGUUGUCAUCUAUGCUCAACUCCUUUCAGAAAUCAGGAACCAUGUGAACUUUCCCUCACUAAAAAUAACAGCUUUCAGUAAAAAAAAAAAAUCAGCUUUUUUUCAGUAAAAAUAAUCAGCUUUCAAAUUUUUGAGUGGUAAUGCCUCUCAGACCAAUGCUUCAACCAGAUUCAACAACCAAAAUAACUAUUUCACUGUUUCUUUUCAUAAAUUAUCAGAAUGAAUCUUCACUGUCUGAUCAUCUAUACAAUGAUCCACUUGACAACUGUGAGGAUGUGGAAAAUACACUUGUAGAAAAAAAGAGCAAAACAAGUCAAUCAACAGGUGACGUACACAGACUUUGUAGAUCGGAAUUCACAGGAUUCUCUCUUACCUGGGCAUCAUAUUCCUCGGUUUUCUUUUCAGAGUCAUUGUAUGCACCAAACUGCAACACACAGGAAAACCACAAUCACAUCAGAACACAGGGGAAAGCAUUUGCUCUCCAACUCUCUACAUUAAACAGGUUUGAAACAGCAGAAUUCACAAAGCAAAAGCAAAGUCAAGUAGCUAGAAAUUUGUCAGAUACAGGAAGCAUUUAUGAAAAGCCAUAACCAUGAAGAGGUCAUGGAUUAUCAUUGUUAUGAUUAUCUCCGCAUGUCCAGAAAUUCUGCCUGCCUCAACACGGUUCCUUGACAUAGGAACAAGCAGAGCCACCAGUCACUCCAGACACAGACUUUAAGCAGCACAAAACCUCAGCACUUCUUGUGAAGAAACACUGGAUAUUAGACAACUGAUUCUUCCACCAGCAAGAUAAAUUUUCAGUGUAGACUACACUUUGCUGCUGCAUGUUCUGCAAUCUCAGCACUUCAUUUUACCCAGAGAAUCAUCUAAGAGUGUACUGUCCCCAGAACAUGCCACAUCUUCUGUUAGUUUCACAAUGGAGAAGUUAUACCUACAGGUUCAUGAAAAAGCCAGUUUCUUAUUUCAAAACAUUAUGUCACUUAAGGGUGUCUUUCCAACACAGUGGCAGCAACAGAGCCUCGCCUAUAAAGAUUUAGCAGAACUGACAGAGAAGUGCUGAAGUUUCUUGCAACAUAAAUACAUACAAAUAGCUGCUUCUAAAGAACUCAAAGAAAGAAACAGGUUUGCAAAUGCUCAUCCUGCUAUUGGAUUAAGCCAUUCAUAGAGAAAUGUACACAGGAAACUUUUGUAAUUCAAAAAAAAAUCUUAAUUUCCUAGAAGUCAAGUUGCACAGUAACCUGGAAAUAGAUGGAUGACUCAAGAGUGUAAUCAUUAACAGGGCAAUGUCUACUAUACCUGAAAUUUGGGCCUCAAACCUUGCCACUUGAUUGUCAUUUUCAAGGCCUUCUUCACCUUCCAGAGCUGUGAUCAGCAAAAACAAAAAAUGCACAUAAAAGAUUAUUAUACAAAGGAACAUCUUAUGAAGGACUCAGAUAAUUAGAAUCAAGAUUCCAGAAUACCUGUUUUAACCAACCAUUGCAUAAAGCAGCCACAGCCUGAUUGCAGCACACACUGCCUGUGUCUACACAAACCAAAUGCCAUGUCAUCAAACAAGUACAAUGUUGUGAGCCUGCACUAUUAAGUCUCUUUAUCAGAUUAUGCAAUUUAAGUAAUGUAGUCAUUCCAGGAUAUCUGAAUGGCAGUGCCUAAGUGGGGUUAGCACCAAGAUGAACCCCAGGUAAGGCAUUUGGAAAAUUCCUGUAGUCACCUACCAAGCAAGUUUUUAUGUGCCUUCAAUGAAGGUGGUUCAGAACUCCUAACAGUGAUUAAGUUGGCACUUAAAAGGUCAUUACAUUUCAGAAGUGGACUACAAGCAAAAAUCAGUGAAUCUUCUGAAUUAUGUGGUUACUUACUGUACAGCUGAAACAGCCUGACCAUAAUGUAAACCUAAAGUUUCAGUUCACCUGAAAAUUUACUAAUGUACCUACACUGCUAUACAGAUGUGACAACUUAGGCAAUGCAGGUCCCCAGGAGAGCUGAACUCCCUGAAGCUUUUUGUGGACAAAGAUUAAUUUACUUGACUUUAGAUACACCAAUAUUCUCUCCUCACCCUACCAUAUAUUCCAGACAAAAAAAAGGCAAAAAAAAAAAAGGGGGAAUAGUGUAAAGACAAUCUUUUACUGUUAUCUUUGGUACAAAUGAGAAAAUAAUUUCUUACAGAAUCAGUGUCACUAUCAGCACUGCAUGAGAAACAGGAGUUAAGCCCAAGUUGGGAAAAAGUUCUUCCUAGCAGACAAAUUCCUAUGUACUGUCCGUAUGACUGCUGUCACUUUGAGACAGCUGUGCUACCUGCAAGCCACUGACGAGAUGCAGACUUGUGGAAUCAUGCACACAGGCAGCAGUCUCCUCCUUUUCCUCCUUCCCCAAUCACCUCAGUCCUGGCACUGUCUGUGGGCACACAGCCUGCUCUUUGACAUGCUUCCAAUGCAGGUUUGUUGACAUGGUUAUACUUGCUUGGCCAGGAGUGAGGCCUACUGGGUGAUGUGGUAAGUGGAGCUGCAGCAUCGCUCUGUGUUUGGUUUCUGCAAUAUCAGCUGGACCAUCCCAAAAAAACUGAUACUUCCAGUUUAGUUAUUUGAUCAAGGGACACCAUCUCCUCUGUCACUGAAAGCCAAGGACAUGCAAGCUACAGUAGAAUUUUCCAGUAACUAGUUUAGCAUUAGUUUUCUACUGUAAACUAUGGAUGUUGCUACAAAUACUGGUAUCUGGUGCUACAGCUUUAAGAACUCACCUCAAUCACUGCACCAACGCCUGCAGGGAUCAGCACCAAUAAACUUGUUUGUUCAUCCAAAAGGAAAAGAAAUAUUACCACAGUACUAAAGCACCUCCAAAGCACUAGACAGAAAACAUGAAAAUGGAAGGCUUAUUAAUAUUUAAAUGAACAGCUGAGAUGACAGAACAGUAAUGGUCUAUUUGGUGCAAUUCUGUCUUACACAAUUUAAAUAUGAAUUUCUUCUGUGUACAUCUUGAUAUAUCUAGUAGUCCUAGAAACAGCCAGUGAUCUCUGGGCAAAUAGGGAACAAGAACAUUUCAUGCAAUCCUUAUCACAGGAGAUGAAAGAAAAUUGGAACAUUUAAUGAAGACUUCUGUACUGAAGCAAUUCAGCAAUAUAUGAGUACAAUUGGGAACUACAUUCAUGAUUUGUGUCUCCAGGAAGCCGAAAGACUGUGAGAUAAUAUAAUAUCCGGAUUUAAAUUCAUUUAUUGUUUGUAAAUGUUAAGUCUUUUGAAUUUGACUUUCCCAAGUUUUGAAACUGGCAAUUGACUCUUAUUUCUGAAAUUCCAUGGACUGUUUUGACUUUUUACAAACUUUUUGGCAUUCACAUGCCAACAGCAGUAAAACUGCUGUAAAAAAACAAAUGCACACAUAAAAAUGAUACAUGGAUUCUCCAUGUGAUAAAAAUAUGUUGUUCAUCAUAACAUGGAAUGCCUUUUAUUUCCCCCGGUAUUGAUAUUCCUUACAUGUUUUAAUCCAUCUGUAAAUAUGACAGAAUUAGGGAUAGUCUCAGAGGUCAAGCAACUCCAGGUUUACAAUUUUGCUUCAUAAUCAAAACUGGAAAAAAAAGCUAUUGGAAAAACUUUCAUCUGUUUCUAGGAAGGCUUGGCAGGAUGUCAGAUCACCAUGUUUCUCACAUCUUUCCUACACACAGAUCAAGUCAAUCCUCCCAUGCUCUCCCCCUCCCCCCACCCCAGGAGCCUCUACUGCUCCUGUUUACAUCGAAGCCCACAUCAAGCAAGAGCAUUACAAUACAGCACUUUCCACCCACAAAUAUUUUGGAACCUGUAGUUAUCUACAAGGAACACAAGGGACUUGCACAACAGCAUUACUCAUGAAAGCACAUUCUCUCCACCCACAGAACUUUUUUCUGGUCUUCAUUCUUUUUUCAGAGCACUUCUCUGUUCCUUCAGCAAGGAAAAACAUGGUAACUGACCCAACAUUAAUCUAAUUCCCAAUUCCAUGACAGUCAAACCUCACUAGUGACAGAAGUGCUUAAACUCAAGUGAAACCUGAGCACAGCACUAACAAAGUUAGAAAUCAUCUGUGUAUAGCAUUAGCCAUCUCUUUGUACACAAACCAUUUUGCUAUCUCUGUAAACCUACAAUGUCACCUUAAGCAAGACUGAAAACGCACACCAUAAAAUAGACAGCACACAGACAACACUUUGCGUUCUAGUCCAUACCUGCUUUUGUAGACAUCCCAAUCAUGCUCCUCUUUUUCUUCCAAAAACUGAUGUCAUUUUUAAAUGCAAGGAAAUCAAAGAGAAGCUGCAAAUAGGAAGAAACAUACUCAUUUGCUUGAAGCAUACACUAAUUAGAGACUGAAAAUGUUAACAAUGCAUUCAACAUGGUAUUAAAAAGCCCCUGUUUUAGAAACUUCAGAAAUGAAAAUUAAGACUCACAAAUAAAAGCUAAAAAGAAAAGUUUUUGUAGAAGCCCAGGCUCUAAAAGCAAUGCAAAAUGACAGGAUGAAUUUCAAAUAUUACCAUUACAGUGCUGCAGAGAUUAGUGUUCUGUAAAGCAAGUCAGAGACCCAAUAGAGGGUAACUCAUCAUAGAAGGUAAAGAAUGAGGACCCUGAGGAACCACACACCUCGAGAGAUCAGGGAAAAGCAUAGUAAAUUAAACUAAAAAUGCUCUGUAUUGGAUUGAUAGUCAAUUUACAUUUGGAUAAUAUGAAAAUUUUAGAAAAAAAAGUCCUACAAUACAGGAAGUCAGGUUUCCUCUGUAUUUUGUCACUAAGCUAUCUAAACUUCCAGGACAUUUUAGAAUUCAAUUUAUUUGUAGGAAGCUUUUUUAUUUUCCUCAGUAUUUUCAUUCAGUAUAGUUUUGGUAUUUCCUUUAAGCCUUCAUUAUCUAAAAAAAAUUGAAUUUCAGAUUCACAGAUUCCAGAAAUUCUUGGGUCAGUAGAUUUUCAUGAAAUUUUCAGUUGCUUUUUCUGGGGUUUGUUUGUCUAUAGGAUGGAUAUUUUUUUAAUUAUUUGGGAAAAUGAUACACAAAAGAAAAAAGUAUCAGAAAAGCUUCUCCCAGUCUACAGACACUUUGCAACCUGAUAAACAGAGUGGAAAAAUGAAAUUAAUAUACCAUGGAAUUCUAAGGCUUUCCAAACAAGUUAACUGUGUGCAAUGAAAGUAUAAAGAAACAUAACAUUCCAGGCAAGUUCUUAUCUCUCCCAGAGUAUGGGAACUGUGUUGAGUAUAACUGUAGAUUACAGAAACGUUCCCAGUGUAUAAAAAAUGUUGUUUAUUAAAAUCAAGAUUCAGAUUGAGCCAGUGCCAAAAAAGGGACACACAACAACAAAAAAUAACCAUGAGUGCUCCACACUUUACAGGAACGUUUCUGGAAACAAUUUCAGAAAAUAUCAGCUGAUCCAGGGAUUAGAAGUCAGAGACUCAAACCCUAGUACAGGUGCCCCACCUAUAUCCCUGCAGUGCUAAACCUUGUGAGAAUUCAACAAAAUUUAAACUAAUGUUUACAGGCAUUUUAAUUCUAGGGGCUUUGGUUCAACUACAAUGUAAAAAAAGUGAUAAUGAAGGUAAUUUUUUAUAUUUCAGUCAAGACUUCAGUCAAGACUUAUUUUCUGUAUAAUUAUCUCAAAUUUCUGCCCUAUUUAAGGUCUUCAUAUUAACUCUGUAUUGGAAAUAUAGCUGACUUUUGUACCAGAUAAUUCUUCCACUGCUCUACUGAAAUUACUGUUUUCAAGAAUAAUUCUUAACAAAUGGAACACCUGAAAGUCAGACACACAUCUCCAUUUUUUUUCCCCAUAUUAUGUACUUCCUAAAAACUAAAACCACUUACAUGGAACGCUGCUACGAAGAAUGUCAAAGCCAGAAAGUACAAGUUAGUAUCAACAAAAAUUCCUUUUACUUCAUCUGCAUCCUUUUCUGAAAACCCUAUGAAAAAGAACAAGUCACUGUGCAAGAAGUACCUGAUAGUUCAUUGCUUUUAUGCUCAAGUCCAGUAUGAAAGGAAUCUUAUGUCACCUACACAACUCUUGUUAAGGAAUCAUAAAUCCAAAACAUGAUGGAAGUUGUAUCGGUGAAAUCCUUAUCUACCUAUAUUUUGGUAAGUUAUUUGGCUUGCCCAAACCCAAAACUCAUCAGUUACAAGUCUUUAACUUAUGUAAUUACAAUGUGUUUUGUAACAAGCUUUUAACACCUUGUGUAAUUACAAGCUAAGCUGACCACCUGACAGACAAAUGGGAAGACACAUUAAAUCAUUUUGGCCUGAGCUGGAAGUAAAAAAAAAGGUUUUACAAAUUGGCCUCUGAACUUUAAUUUGAUACACAGGAGUGAGCUUCACAUCAAAAGCUGAAAAAUAAGAAAAAGACUACACAGUAAAGGACAACAAAAGUCACUGAGAAACAUGGCCAUAGAUGCAAUGCUAUAAUUGAAGUCCACAGUUCUCAGAAAAUACACAAUGCUGCGUUUAUGGCAAUAGUGCUUGAGUGCAGCACCAAGUUACUCGCUAUCACAGCAAGUACUUGGCCAUUCUCAAGUGAUUUUGGAGUUUUGCUACUGAUCUGACUGCUCCAGGAAUUAUUCCAAAAGGAAAAUUUCAAACCUUAUGUUCCACUAUCUACAUACAUAGGGGGAACGAACAGCAUCUUACACAGGCCUUUUUUCCAGGCAGAGGAGGUACUCUUGGGAUGAGGGGUCUUGAUAUCUGUGUCUAUCACACAACAACCAAGGCAUGGAAUAUGAAAAUUUCAAUUCUGGGGAGGCUCACAAAAAAUUAUGGAGAGGUGAUGGUGGACACAUGUCCUAUACAAACUCUGAACAAGCAAUUACUUGAUUCUUUCAAGACAGUUAUGUUUAGCAGACAUAUUUCUAGCUUUUACACACAUUAGCCUGAGCUAAGGAGAAGCAGCUGGAUUUUACUCAGUAUGGCCUGCCUGUAUUUCACUGCAGAUAUAUGGCUACAGUGAGCAGCUGUGUAUACAUUAUACAAAAGUAUGAAGUAUAUGUAAAAACUAUAAGUAUAAAGUAUAUACAUCAAAGCCUAUGUACCACUGAUCGAACUUUUCUGUUCCUUGGAUGACAGGGGAAACCCAUGGUGAAAAUGCCCUUCUUGAUUAUGUCCUCUAAUGCUUUUACAGAGUACUAUCCCAAAUAAAAUUAAUUUUAAAAAUGGUUAAUUCACCUCUGUAUUUUUGUUCCCUGCCACAUGUCAACAUAUGCUUUUAUUUUUAACUUAAGGUGAAACAACACGAGAUUUGUAGCAUUAAAUCUCUUCACCAGCUAUCCAGAAAAAAAAAUGCAUCUAUGUGCAUAAAAGAAACAAAUUAAGGGGUUAGUUGUGGUUUCUUAGCCUAAAGUCACUAAAGGUAAGCAUACCAAAUU